UACGAAGGCCCCAAGCGUUAUCCGGAAUUACUGGGCGUAAAGCGCCCGCAGGCGGUCUCGCCAGUCUCGUGUGAAACUUCGGAGCUUAACUCCGAAUUGCCCGAGAUACUACGAGACUAGAGUAUGGGAGAGGUAAGCGGAACGGUAUGAGUAGGAGUGCAAUCCGUUGAUACAUACCAGAACACCAAAAGCGAAGGCAGCUUACUGGAACAUUACUGACGCUCAUGGACGAAAGCGUGGGGAGCAAAAGGG
This 252-nucleotide ribosomal RNA is filed under the name uncultured bacterium. Its description in RNAcentral is "partial 16S ribosomal RNA". It matches the Rfam family "Bacterial small subunit ribosomal RNA", at positions 524 to 776 of the family's 1533-position model. The record is from RNAcentral.